GACGAACGCUGGCGGCGUGCCUAAUACAUGCAAGUCGAGCGCUUCUUUCCUCCCGAGUGCUUGCACUCAAUUGGAAAGAGGAGUGGCGGACGGGUGAGUAACACGUGGGUAACCUACCCAUCAGAGGGGGAUAACACUUGGAAACAGGUGCUAAUACCGCAUAACAGUUUAUGCCGCAUGGCAUAAGAGUGAAAAGCGCUUUCGGGUGUCGUUGAUGGAUGGACCCGCGGUGCAUUAGCUAGUUGGUGAGGUAACGGCUCACCAAGGCCACGAUGCAUAGCCGACCUGAGAGGGUGAUCGGCCACACUGGGACUGAGACACGGCCCAGACUCCUACGGGAGGCAGCAGUAGGGAAUCUUCGGCAAUGGACGAAAGUCUGACCGAGCAACGCCGCGUGAGUGAAGAAGGUUUUCGGAUCGUAAAACUCCGUUGUUAGAGAAGAACAAGGACGUUAGUAACUGAACGUCCCCUGACGGUAUCUAACCAGAAAGCCACGGCUAACUACGUG
RNAcentral lists this ribosomal RNA (508 nucleotides) under uncultured bacterium. Its description in RNAcentral is "partial 16S ribosomal RNA". It matches the Rfam family "Bacterial small subunit ribosomal RNA", at positions 28 to 507 of the family's 1533-position model. The record is from RNAcentral.